CUGAUUCGCAGGCUACUACGGAGAUGCCUCUGAGGAAACACCACCCUCCGCGCAGCCCCAGAGCCCCGCGAGGGGCUAGGGUAAUACCCUAGGUCCCGGCACAGAAACGAUAUGGCUACAAGCUGAUGAGGAUGAAGUAGUAAGACUCCUUAGGCAACUAAGGAGUAGCCAAUCUGCAGACGAGGCUUGUAGAUGCAGUGAAACGGCCGACCUCUGGGGAGUAAGGCAAGCCCCUGAUGAAGGCUGCGUGAAGGGGUAAAGCCGCUUAGCCAAAUGUAGUUGACUACAGAAGGUGGGUUAUUGCGAAUCAG
This 311-nucleotide RNase P RNA is filed under the name Ignisphaera aggregans. RNAcentral describes it as "RNase P RNA component". It matches the Rfam family "Archaeal RNase P". From Rfam's summary of the family: Ribonuclease P (RNase P) is a ubiquitous endoribonuclease, found in archaea, bacteria and eukarya as well as chloroplasts and mitochondria. Its best characterised activity is the generation of mature 5'-ends of tRNAs by cleaving the 5'-leader elements of precursor-tRNAs. Lineage: Archaea; Thermoproteati; Thermoproteota; Thermoprotei; Desulfurococcales; Desulfurococcaceae. The record is from RNAcentral.